CGACCGCUGGCGGCGUGCUUAACACAUGCAAGUCGAACGGAAAGGCCCUGCUUUUGUGGGGUGCUCGAGUGGCGAACGGGUGAGUAACACGUGAGUAACCUGCCCUUGACUUUGGGAUAACUUCAGGAAGCUGGGGCUAAUACCGGAUAGGAGCUCCUGCUGCAUGGUGGGGGUUGGAAAGUUUCGGCGGUUGGGGAUGGACUCGCGGCUUAUCAGCUUGUUGGUGGGGUAGUGGCUUACCAAGGCUUUGACGGGUAGCCGGCCUGAGAGGGUGACCGGCCACAUUGGGACUGAGAUACGGCCCAGACUCCUACGGGAGGCAGCAGUGGGGAAUAUUGCACAAUGGGCGGAAGCCUGAUGCAGCAACGCCGCGUGCGGGAUGACGGCCUUCGGGUUGUAAACCGCUUUCGCCUGUGACGAAGCGUGAGUGACGGUAAUGGGUAAAGAAGCACCGGCUAACUACGUG
RNAcentral lists this ribosomal RNA (466 nucleotides) under uncultured bacterium. Its description in RNAcentral is "partial 16S ribosomal RNA". It matches the Rfam family "Bacterial small subunit ribosomal RNA", at positions 30 to 507 of the family's 1533-position model. The record is from RNAcentral.